AUACAUGCAAGUAGAACGCUGAAGAGAGGAGCUUGCUCUUCUUGGAUGAGUUGCGAACGGGUGAGUAACGCGUAGGUAACCUGCCUUGUAGCGGGGGAUAACUAUUGGAAACGAUAGCUAAUACCGCAUAACAAUGGAUGACACAUGUCAUUUAUUUGAAAGGGGCAAUUGCUCCACUACAAGAUGGACCUGCGUUGUAUUAGCUAGUAGGUGAGGUAACGGCUCACCUAGGCGACGAUACAUAGCCGACCUGAGAGGGUGAUCGGCCACACUGGGACUGAGACACGGCCCAGACUCCUACGGGAGGCAGCAGUAGGGAAUCUUCGGCAAUGGGGGCAACCCUGACCGAGCAACGCCGCGUGAGUGAAGAAGGUUUUCGGAUCGUAAAGCUCUGUUGUAAGUCAAGAACGAGUGUGAGAGUGGAAAGUUCACACUGUGACGGUAGCUUACCAGAAAGGGACGGCUAACUACGUGCCAGCAGCCGCGGUAAUACGUAGGUCCCGAGCGUUGUCCGGAUUUAUUGGGCGUAAAGCGAGCGCAGGCGGUUUGAUAAGUCUGAAGUUAAAGGCUGUGGCUCAACCAUAGUUCGCUUUGGAAACUGUCAAACUUGAGUGCAGAAGGGGAGAGUGGAAUUCCAUGUGUAGCGGUGAAAUGCGUAGAUAUAUGGAGGAACACCGGUGGCGAAAGCGGCUCUCUGGUCUGUAACUGACGCUGAGGCUCGAAAGCGUGGGGAGCGAACAGGAUUAGAUACCCUGGUAGUCCACGCCGUAAACGAUGAGUGCUAGGUGUUGGAUCCUUUCCGGG
RNAcentral lists this ribosomal RNA (804 nucleotides) under uncultured bacterium. RNAcentral describes it as "bacterial SSU rRNA". It matches the Rfam family "Bacterial small subunit ribosomal RNA", at positions 51 to 838 of the family's 1533-position model. The record is from RNAcentral.